GAGCACAAGGCCUGGGGGCCCACAAACCUGGGUCUGUAUGCCCACUCUUCAUUAGCAGCUCCAGGACCAAGUGCGGUCAGUUUUCUGGAACUCGUUUCCAUAUCUCCACUGUGAUGUAAGGAUGUGCAUGGAUCCUAAAUGUGAGAAGCUGGCAAUCACCAGGUCCCUGGCAAGUGCUCAGAGUCUGAGCUACCAUCAAAAUCAAGGGCACAGGGGGAAGCUAACUGCUUCUCUGAAUACUCUAAGGGAGGCAGAUCUAGGCCAGGUGACCAGGGUUUACAAGUCCCAGGACAGCAGGUUGGGCUUGGUGCACGGAAGAACUGAUGAGCAGCUUCACUCAUGCAGCAGGACAGAUCAGGACAAAGCCAUGCUGGAGUUGGGGCCACACAUCUGCUGAAAACCCCCAACACUCUUUUUCCCAGCAGCAGCUUCCAAGCAAUUCCUGAGGCCCUCCCACCGGCUAACCAGAAAGGAACCCACCAUUGGUCUCCUUAGUAACGACUUCCAAGGCCCCUUGCACAUCUGAAAAGCGCACAGUGUGAUUUCCAGACCCAAGUUAGACAGCGAUUUCUUCAAAGUGCAACGCCCUCAAUUAAUGAACCCUCUGGGAAUGAAGUACCUUCUAACAAAAACAUUGUUCAAAAUAAAGCUGGAAAAAAACCUCACACAGCCCCUAGGACAGAGAUGUGAGUGUUGUUGCCCAGUCACAACCAUGACAAGGCGAUGUGGUUACACGGUAGGGUCAGAGGUAGGCAGUCUCCAGCCAUUCCCAGCAGGUGACCUUGGCCAGUUACUUGACCUUCAACUUGGUUUCCUUGUCUGCAAGAUGAGGAUGAUGACAGGCAACUCCCACGGCGGGAGUGCAGACUGCAGAACAGUCACUCAUGCAGUAACUACCUGCUGAGCACCCCUGUGCAUCAGGUGGCCUUGUUCCUGCGGCGGGGAUACAGCAAGGAACACAGCCCUGCCCCGUGGAGCUCAUAUUCUGUGGGGUAGCGGGUGGAGAAAACAUAUUAAAGACUGCUGAACUCACACAUGAUUUUCUGAAGCGGGCAGAAGAGAUGGCAGAUCAAACCGGGGUCAGAAUCUAGAAGAUGACUGCCUAACCAGAUGUGGAUAAAUCACAGGACCACAGGGCAUCUCCGCAGGGUCUUAAUUAAGGAACUUGAGGUGAAAAUGGGGCCAGGACACAUGGACAUUGUUAGCCGUGGCCCCUCUGGAGGCCACAGGUAACAACAUUUCAAGCCAUUUCACCAGGUUAGCCUCAGCCCAGACCAAAACAGAGAAAUUGACCAGCCAGAAAGACAACCAUACCCGGAAUCUGGUCCGGAGGCCUCCGCCAAGGGCACCAUCAGGUGGAUGCCAGGAAAGGCAUGCAGGAGGUCAGGAUAUGGGACAGAACCUCUAGGCAAGAAGGUCCCGCAGAUGGUACCCAUGGUGGGCAUCCACCGGUUUUUGUUUUGUUUUGUUUUUGUCUGCAGCUUCUGCUCACCCUACUUCCCAGGGACUUCCCAGUGGUAACCCCAGUUUUGUCUGGAGAUCCGCCCCUCCCCAACUCUGGUCUUGUGGUCAGGUGGAGAUGACCAGCUCCAGGGCCAGCCCAUCAUUUGCCUGGCCAUGGAGUCUAGUUCCAGAUGGAAACAGAAUCCCAUCAAAGCCAUUAUGAUGGUGUGAGACUUUUGAGGCAGAGGUUAACGUCAUUUCUGGGGGACUUGGAGUUAGGUCAUUCACACAUGGUGGAGACAGGAAUCUACAGACCAGGGAUCAGCCCCAAGGCUAUGAUCUUUGUGCUGCGCCGCUCUACCCCUGAGCAGACAGGCCAGAGGUCCAGAGAGGGCUGUGCUGGCAGAGUUCAUACUUUGAUAACUGAACCCUAGAGUAAGCCUGCCCUGGAAAUGCCAGCUCAAGGGACUGACAGGCAUAAUGCUCUUUGGGAGAGAAAUGCCACAUCUGCAGCGACACGCAUCCUAACACUGUCCCAGGACUGGGGAACCAGCGGAGGAGCAGCUGAUAAAUGUCAAGGCACACAGUAAUCCUGGGUAAUCCAUUCAGAGCUGGCAGUAAUCUAAACUUUCUGUACAGCAGUGACUCUGAGCUAUCAGUCACAAUGCAAGAGGGAGCCUUGAGGGUCCUCCAGGAUGUUUGCCAAGGGCACAGGCCCAAAGCCAGAAAAGGUACCCAACAGGGAUACCAUCAGGAAGAAGUUGGAAACAAAAGAUAAAGCACUCUACCUGAGGGAAGUACCCCAGCUGCAGGGGCCUCCUGGAGACAUGCUCACCUGAGCUGGCUCAUGUGCUGCUGAGGCUGGAUGGAAUGGCACAUGGCAACAUGCUUUGUCAACGCCACUAUGCAAGAUGGGUGUCAUUAUAACCGUG
Molecule: long non-coding RNA, 2375 nt
Filed under: Homo sapiens (human)
Lineage: Eukaryota; Metazoa; Chordata; Mammalia; Primates; Hominidae
Description: HSALNT0359461
Source: RNAcentral